Molecule: RNA transcript, 1704 nt
Organism: Malus domestica (apple)
Lineage: Eukaryota; Viridiplantae; Streptophyta; Magnoliopsida; Rosales; Rosaceae
Gene name: WRKY transcription factor 71-like
Source: RefSeq, a predicted model, not a curated record
UCUCUCCCUCCUAUUAAAAAAAGGCAAAGAUAAAAAUCAAACCUAGAGCUCAUUCCCUGUCAAACGAACAGAGCAAGAAUCUCAUCCCCAUCUCUCUCACAUCUCUCAAAGUUUCGUCUUCUUCAUCUCACUCAUCUUCUUCUACCAUGUCAAAUGAGAAGAAAAAUCCUUACCAGUACGACCCUUUCGACUACAACCACCAUGAGAUCAACAAGUCAAGUUUUCCAUUCUUCAACUAUGGUACUUCCUCCAUAUACCAAAAUCCCCCACAUGACCCACAAACCCUAAAUGGGUUUGGAUCUGAUCAUCCUAAUUCGUUCAUGAGCUUUACCGACUGCCUACACGGAUCAUUGGACUACAACACCCUCUCGAAAGCCUUCGACAUGUCGUGUUCCUCAUCGGAAGUCAUUUCUCGGCCGUUAGAUCAUGACAACAACUCAAACAAACAGCAGGCUGCGGCAGCAGGUGUAGGAGAUCACUCAGUGGGGACUAAUAGUACCACUGAAAACCCUUCCACACCAAAUUAUUCCUCAAUAUCUUCUUCCCCUAAUGAAGCUGCUGGUGCUGGUGCUGUUGCUGUUGCUGUUGAUCAUCAAGUUUUAGAUGAAGAUUCAGAUCAUAAGAGCAAGAAAGAUAAACAGCCGAAAUUACGGUCUGAUGGAGAUGAUGAAGACAAGUCAAAGAAAGGGAGCAAAGCAAAAAAGAAAGAGAAACGGAAGAGGGAACCACGGUUUGCGUUUCUGACUAAGAGUGAAGUGGAUCACCUUGAAGAUGGAUACAGAUGGAGGAAGUACGGACAGAAGGCAGUCAAGAACAGCCCUUAUCCUAGAAGUUAUUACAGAUGCACCACACAGAAGUGCAUCGUAAAGAAGCGUGUUGAGAGAUCAUUUCAAGAUUCAUCAACCGUGAUCACAACAUACGAAGGUCAGCACAACCACCAGUGUCCGGCAACACUCCGUGGAAAUCUCAAUCUCAACGCUGUCGGAAUGCUGUCACCUAAUUCACUUUUGGCAUCGGCAUCUUUGAGCGGAUCAGCAAGAUUUUCACAUGAAUUCUUAGCUCAAUUUCUCCCAAUGGACAACCAGUUGCAAUUGCAAAGUCAUCAACAUGAUCAUCCACCAAGUUCAACGUUAUACUCAACCCUCAUGAGUCCUCAUCGUCAUCAUCAUAAUCAGCAGCAGCAACAGCUACCUGCUUCUGACUAUGGUUUGUUGCAAGAUUUAGUUCCCUCAUUUAGUCACAAAAAAGAGCCAUGAAUAUUUGUGAGUACUUUUCGAGUCGAUUGGCGGGCAACUAUAUGCACCAAAACUAUGAUAUUUCCAGUACUAUUUGCUUAGAUGGGCUGAGAAACAGUAUGGCUUUCAAGGAAUCGCAUUCAGUGAGUACUAGUAUAUAUAAUUCUGAGUACUGCAGUGCAUAUAUAUUGUUCCUGUGGUCUUAAAGUUAAUCUACCAUAAAGCUUCUCUAAUUGUUAGUGAAUGAAGGUGCUUCUUUGAAGGAAUGGCAACCUGUCUGGCUACUCUAGAGGGCUAACAGUACGUGAGAAGAUGGGCUUAACUGCAGUGCAUAUACGCAUGUAUGCAAAUAUGUAUGUAUAGCUACCAUUGGAAAACGAGGGGUUAACUGUAAGAAAUGGGGUUGAUUAACUUGAUUGGAGAGCAUGGUUAGACCUACAUUUAUAAGAGGAUUAAGGUUUUCUGUGCA